RNAcentral lists this ribosomal RNA (196 nucleotides) under uncultured bacterium. Its description in RNAcentral is "partial 16S ribosomal RNA". It matches the Rfam family "Bacterial small subunit ribosomal RNA", at positions 328 to 539 of the family's 1533-position model. The record is from RNAcentral.
ACGCUCGACACCUACGGAGGCAGCAGUGAGGGAUAUUGGUCAAUGGGGGAAACCCUGAACCAGCAACGCCGCGUGAGGGAUGACGGUCUUCGGAUUGUAAACCUCUGUCCUCUGUGAAGAUAAUGACGGUAGCAGAGGAGGAAGCUCCGGCUAACUACGUGCCAUCAGCCGCGGUAAUCUGAGCGGCUGGCAAGGC